GUGGAAAACAAUAGAGCAAUUAAUCAGCCAGCAAUAGUGGAUCCUAAUAGCUGGGAGUGGUCAGCUUUCCUCUGAGAGCCGCUUUUGGCCACUGGGGACACCUCUGUCCUUGGACCCAGGGAAGAGACCCAUGCCAGCCCAGCAGGGAGCCUCUGGACCUCAGGAGCCCCAGAGCCGCGCCCAGACUUCAGAGCUGUCAGGUGGCAGUGAAACAGCAGAAGAACAAAACUGAAAACAAAAUGACUUGGGUAAACCACCGCAUCCUAAAGAGACAGAGAGAUCCUUCCGCAGGCAUUCAGAUAACUCCGCACUGGCUCCCUGCACUUUUGCCCAAGAAAGGGAGUUUAUGGGAAAAUCCGCACCAUGCUUGGGCAGUAACCAAGCAAGCAGUAGGAGGUCACCGGGAACCUCUGCAUUUUCCAGAGCAAGAGCCAGCACAUGGAGGAAGUGACUUUCACAAGGCCACACCUGCGUCCUUGCCUGGAGCACGACCCCCAUCUCUCCAGGACUUCUCGGGGAGCAGUUCGAGAGGAGGCGUGCCGGAAGAUGAAGGGUUAAUGUGCGGUUUGCCUCCUGAAAUAAAACCCCCUGAAUCUGCUCAAGGACAUCCUUUAAAUUCCUUUCCUCCAACACUUUGUUUGCAAGCCCAUAAAUAGCUCCUCUUCAAACACAGACUGAAAGCCCAACCUAAUAAAAGAGGUAAAACUGUUUCUGGGCUGAAACAGUUAUUGUAUU
Long non-coding RNA from Suricata suricatta (meerkat), 735 nucleotides. RefSeq lists it as uncharacterized. The record is from RefSeq and is a predicted model, not a curated record. The transcript has 4 exons. NCBI's taxonomy places the organism in Eukaryota, Metazoa, Chordata, Mammalia, Carnivora, Herpestidae.